Molecule: ribosomal RNA, 538 nt
Filed under: Beauveria bassiana
Lineage: Eukaryota; Fungi; Ascomycota; Sordariomycetes; Hypocreales; Cordycipitaceae
Description: eukaryotic LSU rRNA
Rfam family: 5.8S ribosomal RNA (bases 177-330)
Source: RNAcentral
CGGAGGGAUCAUUACCGAGUUUUCAACUCCCUAACCCUUCUGUGAACCUACCUAUCGUUGCUUCGGCGGACUCGCCCCAGCCCGGACGCGGACUGGACCAGCGGCCCGCCGGGGACCUCAAACUCUUGUAUUCCAGCAUCUUCUGAAUACGCCGCAAGGCAAAACAAAUGAAUCAAAACUUUCAACAACGGAUCUCUUGGCUCUGGCAUCGAUGAAGAACGCAGCGAAACGCGAUAAGUAAUGUGAAUUGCAGAAUCCAGUGAAUCAUCGAAUCUUUGAACGCACAUUGCGCCCGCCAGCAUUCUGGCGGGCAUGCCUGUUCGAGCGUCAUUUCAACCCUCGACCUCCCCUUGGGGGGGUCGGCGUUGGGGACCGGCAGCACACCGCCGGCCCUGAAAUGGAGUGGCGGCCCGUCCGCGGCGACCUCUGCGCAGUAAUACAGCUCGCACCGGAACCCCGACGCGGCCACGCCGUAAAACACCCAACUUCUGAACGUUGACCUCGAAUCAGGUAGGACUACCCGCUGAACUUAAGCAUA